This 332-nucleotide long non-coding RNA is filed under the name Vigna radiata. Its description in RNAcentral is "long non-coding RNA (VRAD_LNC011736)". The record is from RNAcentral. Lineage: Eukaryota; Viridiplantae; Streptophyta; Magnoliopsida; Fabales; Fabaceae.
AAAGGAUAAAUUAAUGGUUGCAGCAGCCUUGCUCUCACCUAUCAUCUCUCCAACACCGAGAAAAAGAAAGGACAAGGAAAAUGCUCAUUCCUUUUAACCACUUCCCAUCACCGUCAGCAUCAUUCAUCUUUCUCCAAUUAAUAAAACACGUUCCAGCCCCUUUUUUAGAAGAAAGAAAUUGCUUAAUAAUUCAAUAAUUCCUCCCUACAUGAGCCAAGACCGUGAGCUUCCUUGAUGGGUGCUGCAGCAGUAUUCCAUCUAGCUGGGACCGUGACACCACACCACAAAAUGCAAAAUAAGAUGCAAUGGGUUUCAAUUGAAAAGACAACAAU